Molecule: long non-coding RNA, 1429 nt
Filed under: Homo sapiens (human)
Lineage: Eukaryota; Metazoa; Chordata; Mammalia; Primates; Hominidae
Description: HSALNT0180174
Source: RNAcentral
CCGCCUUGCAGUUUGACCUCAGACUGCUGUGCUAGCAGUCAGCGAGACUCCGUGGGCGUAGGACUUUCUGAGCCAGGUGCGGGAUAUAAUCUGCUGGUGUGCCGUUUUUUAAACCCAUCGGAAAAGCGCAGUAUUCAGGUGGGAGUGACCCGAUUUUCCAGGUGCCGUUUGUCACCACUUUCCUUGACUAGGAAAGGGAACUCCCUGACCCCUUGCACUUCUUGAGUGAGGCAAUGCCUCGCCCUGCUUUGGCUCGUGCACAGUGCGUGCACUCACUGACCUGCGCCCACUGUCUGGCACUCGCUAGUGAGAUGAACCCGGUACCUCAGAUGGAAAUGCAGAAAUCACCCGUCUUCUGCGUCGCUUAGGCUGGGAGCUGUAGACCGGAGCUGUUCCUAUUCGGCCAUCUUGGCUCCUAAAUCUGACAUCCUAAGGAACAUUAUCUUUUGAGGGCACAAUCUUUCACUUGCAUCCUCUAUGGUAAUGCACCUAAAUCUGGAUCCAAGAUCUUAUAAAUACACCAGGGAUUCAGUCUAGGUUCUGAUGCUCACUUCACCAUCAUUGAGAUGAAGAAUAUUGCCAGAUGUGGAACCUGCAGAUGCAGGGGGCUGACUUAAGAGACGAGGAUCCACAGACGCUGACAUCCAUGGUGUGGUCCUUGGACCAGCAACAUCAGUAUCUAUAUCACCUGAGAGCUUGUUAAACAUUCAGAAAUUGGGAGCCCACGCAACAUCUACAGAAUCAGAAUCUACAUUUCUACAAGAUACUCUGGAAUUCAUACCUAAAUUUUGUGGUUUGAGAAGUCCUGUAGUGCAGGCUACAUCACCAGGACUUGAAGGACAGCAGCACAUCUUUGCUCAAAGUUAACUUUCCUGGACUAAAAGUUUAAACUCUGACAUCCCUACAAUGGGCACACCCAACUCAAGUCUUCUUUCUUGGGAAUGCACUGUCUCAGUGAUUGGCUUCCUGUGUGGUGAGCGGCAGGACCUAGACCAUAACUCCUGAUGUUUUGGAAACAGAAUGACUGAGGAUUCCCAAAAUAUAUUAACGACCAGCCACAGAUUCCAGAAACACGGACAAGCAAAAGGUAGAAUAAGUUUUUUUUCUCUACUUCUCAUAUUAUUCUUUCUCUCCCUUCCCAAUGUUUUUGUUAUAUCAUUUUAUUUUGUCUGAGAAUAUAACUCUUAUGUUGUAUUCUGCAAACAAAAUCACAACGUUUUUGUCUCACUCCUUGAGUUAAGUAAACUACCUACUUACGACCAGUCUUUUUUUUUUUUUUUUUUUUUUGAGGCGGACUCUUGCUCUGUUGCCAAGGCUGGAGUGAGUGGUGUGAUCUCAGCUCACUGCAGCCUCCACCUCCCAGGUUCAAGUGAUUCUCCUACCUCAGCCUCCCAAGUAGCUGGGAUUUCAGGUCCCUGCCACCAUGCCU